Molecule: long non-coding RNA, 666 nt
Organism: Octodon degus (degu)
Lineage: Eukaryota; Metazoa; Chordata; Mammalia; Rodentia; Octodontidae
Exons: 4
Source: RefSeq, a predicted model, not a curated record
GACUGUUAUGAAGAAGAAGAUACAGCAUUCCUGUGUCCAAGUUGACUUUGAGUUGCCAUCCUACAGGAGUGGAAGGCACAGGAAGAUGACUAAGGUGGAUGUCCUGUUGCCUCAGAUAUCACCUGCCUCAUUGCCUUGUGGAGGAUGGAUGACCACUUAUUAAGGAUGCUGAGAAGCUGCAUCUAUGCCUGCACAAGACUUGUCAUGUUGCCUCCACCGAGGGGAGCUUUGGAAUUAGACCUAGAAGUUCCGAUCUCAUUCUAUUGCCUCAGCAAUUCAACACAAAGGCUCUGGUCCAACCCUUUUCUUUCUGAGUCUCAAUGACUACACACUGAAUGGAGUCUAUCCAAGAAGGACCUGUAUUUCAUGACUGCAGCUUCCAAAAACAUGGAGAAUGUUAUUCUUCGGGUGUUUUUCUGGAAAGGAAAUGAGUUGGAGAAAUGACUGCCAGGCAGAGGACAGGACCAUUAAAAUCUCACACAGAGAGACUGAAGUUUAAGCUUUCUUAUGUUUAAUUCUCUGACGUAUGCCCCAGCAUGACAGAAAAUAAUUCUUGAUCAGUAGAGAGCAUGGAUAAUAGAAAUCCAACAAAUAUGAUCCGGCAAAGCCAAUGCAUCGGAACACAAAAGUUCCUAGAGGUAGCUGUAUUUUAAAGUAUAUUUAUUU